GGGCUAGGGCUUGGCGGAAGAGGUCCCCUGCAAAGGGAAGGCAGGACAGAGCGGGAGGAUGAGCCAGGCCUUGCAGGGUCUGCCCACACCCCCGUGCCCGCUCCUCUCUCUCCUGCAGAUGAUGAUGCCAAUUCCUACGAGAAUGUGCUCAUUUGCAAGCAGAAAACCACAGAGACAGGUGCCCAGCAGGAGGGCAUAGGUGGCCUCUGCAGAGGGGACCUCAGCCUGUCACUGGCCCUGAGGACUGGCCCCACUUCUGGUCUCUGUCCCUCUGCCUCCCCGGAAGAAGAUGAGGAAUCUGAGGAUUAUCAGAACUCAGCAUCCAUCCAUCAGUGGCGCGAGUCCAGGAAGGUCAUGGGGCAACUCCAGAGAGAAGCAUCCCCUGGCCCGGUGGGAAGCCCAGACGAGGAGGACGGGGAACCGGAUUACGUGAAUGGGGAGGUGGCAGCCACAGAAGCCUAGGGCAGACCAAGAAGAAAGGAGCCAAGGCAAAGAGGGACCACUGUGCUCAUGGACCCAUCGCUGCCUUCCAAGGACCAUUUCCCAGAGCUACUCAACUUUUAAGCCCCUGCCAUGGUUGCUCCUGGAAGGAGAACCAGCCACCCUGAGGACCACCUGGCCAUGCGUGCACAGCCUGGGAAAAGACAGUUACUCACAGGAGCUGCAGGCCCGUCACCAAGCCCUCUCCCGACCCAGGCUUUGUGGGGCAGGCACCUGGUACCAAGGGUAACCCGGCUCCUGGUAUGGACGGAUGCGCAGGAUUUAGGAUAAGCUGUCACCCAGUCCCCAUAACAAAACCACUGUCCAACACUGGUAUCUGUGUUCUUUUGUGCUAUGAAUUUGGAUUCCUAAUUGCUAUUGUUGGUUGCUGGGGUUUUAAAUGAUUGAUAAGCUUGUACAGUUAACUUAUAGAGGGGGAGCCAUAUUUAACAUUCUGGAUUUCAGAGUAGAGAUUUCUGUGUUGUCUCCUAGAAAGCAUUACAUGUAGUUUAUUUCAGCAUCCUUGUUGGGUGGGGCCCUGGCUCUCUUCCCCUUUGGUGGGACCUCCCCUUUCUUUGGGCUUCAGUUCACUCAGGAAGAAAUGAGGCUGUCGCCAUCUUUAUGUGCUUCCAGUGGAAAUGUCACUUGCUACAGACAAUAGUGCAUGAGAGUCUAGAGAAGUAGUGACCAGAACAGGGCAGAGUAGGUCCCCUCCAUGGCCCUGAAUCCUCCUCUGCUCCAGGGCUGGCCUCUGCAGAGCUGAUUAGACAGUGUUGUGACUGUCUCAUGGGAAGAGCUGGGGCCCAGAGGGACCUUGAGUCAGAAAUGCUGCCAGAAAAAGUAUC
Molecule: long non-coding RNA, 1325 nt
Filed under: Pan troglodytes (chimpanzee)
Lineage: Eukaryota; Metazoa; Chordata; Mammalia; Primates; Hominidae
Description: long non-coding RNA NONPTRT016229
Source: RNAcentral